GCUUGGGUAGCUCAGUUGGUAGAGCAUUCGAUUGAAGCUCGAAGGGUCGGCAGUUCGAGCCUGCCCCCAAGCA
RNAcentral lists this transfer RNA (73 nucleotides) under Candidatus Kaiserbacteria bacterium CG10_big_fil_rev_8_21_14_0_10_44_10. RNAcentral's name for it is "tRNA-Phe". It matches the Rfam family "tRNA". Rfam says of the family: Transfer RNA (tRNA) molecules are approximately 80 nucleotides in length. Lineage: Bacteria; Candidatus Kaiseribacteriota. The record is from RNAcentral.